This 467-nucleotide ribosomal RNA is filed under the name uncultured bacterium. RNAcentral describes it as "partial 16S ribosomal RNA". It matches the Rfam family "Bacterial small subunit ribosomal RNA", at positions 28 to 507 of the family's 1533-position model. The record is from RNAcentral.
GACGAACGCUGGCGGCGUGCUUAACACAUGCAAGUCGAACGAUGACGACCGAGCUUGCUCGGUCUGAUUAGUGGCGAACGGGUGAGUAACACGUGAGCAACCUGCCCUUCACUCUGGGAUAACCUCGGGAAAUCGGGGCUAAUACCGGAUAUGAGCUCCUGUCGCAUGGCGGGUGUUGGAAAGUUUUUCGGUGAAGGAUGGGCACGCGGCCUAUCAGUUUGUUGGUGAGGUAGUGGCUCACCAAGGCGAUGACGGGUAGCCGGCCUGAGAGGGCGACCGGCCACACUGGGACUGAGCUACGGCCCAGACUACUACGGGAGGCAGCAGUGCGGAAUAUUGCACAAUGGGAGAAAGCCUGAUGCAGCGACGCAGCGUGAGGGAUGACGGCCUUCGGGUUGUAAACCUCUUUCAGCAGGGAAGAAGCGAAAGUGACGGUACCUGCAGAAGAAGCGCCGGCUAACUACGUG